AUUGAACGCUGGCGGCAGGCCUAACACAUGCAAGUCGAGCGGAAGAAGGGAGCUUGCUCCUGGAUUCAGCGGCGGACGGGUGAGUAAUGCCUAAGAAUCUGCCUAGUAGUUGGGGAUAACGCCCGGAAACGGGCGCUAAUACCGCAUACGUCCUGCGGGAGAAAGUGGGGGAUCUUCGGAGCUCAGGCUAUCUGAUGAGCCUAGGUCGGAUUAGCUAGUUGGUGGGGUAAAGGCCUACCAAGGCGACGAUCCGUAACUGGUCUGAGAGGAUGAUCAGCCACACUGGAACUGAGACACGGUCCAGACUCCUACGGGAGGCAGCAGUGGGGAAUAUUGGACAAUGGGCGAAAGCCUGAUCCAGCAAUGCCGCGUGUGUGAAGAAGGUCUUCGGAUUGUAAAGCACUUUAAGUUGGGAGGAAGGGCAGUAAGUUAAUAUCUUGCUGUUUUGACGGUACCAACAGAAUAAGCACCGGCUAACUUCGUG
Molecule: ribosomal RNA, 484 nt
Filed under: uncultured bacterium
Lineage: Bacteria
Description: partial 16S ribosomal RNA
Rfam family: Bacterial small subunit ribosomal RNA
Source: RNAcentral